GGCCGCUUAGCUUAAAUGGAAGAGCAUAAUACUUCUAAUAUUACUAUUCAGGUUCGAUCCCUGAAGCGGUCA
Molecule: transfer RNA, 72 nt
Filed under: Glomus cerebriforme
Lineage: Eukaryota; Fungi; Glomeromycota; Glomeromycetes; Glomerales; Glomeraceae
Description: tRNA-Arg
Rfam family: tRNA
About the family: Transfer RNA (tRNA) molecules are approximately 80 nucleotides in length. Their secondary structure includes four short double-helical elements and three loops (D, anti-codon, and T loops).
Source: RNAcentral